CAGCCGCCGCGGUAAUACCGGCGGCCCGAGUGGCGGUCACUAUUAUUGGGCUUAAAGCGUCCGUAGCCGGGUUGGUUAGUCUCCCGGGAAAUCUGGCCGCUUAAAGGGCAGAAUUCCGGGAGAUACUGCCAGCCUAGGGACCGGGAGAGGCCGAGGGUAUUCCCGGAGUAGGGGUGAAAUCCUAUAAUCCCGGGAGGACCACCUGUGGCGAAGGCGCUCGGCUGGAACGGGUCCGACGGUGAGGGACGAAGGCCAGGGGAGCAAACCGGAUUAGAUACCCGGGUAGUCCUGGCUGUAAACGAUGCGGACUUUGUGUCGGACAAGCUAUGAGCUUGUCCGGUGCCGGAGGGAAACCGUUAAGUCCGCCGCCUGGGGAGUACGGCCGCAAGGCUGAAACUUAAAGGAAUUGGCGGG
RNAcentral lists this ribosomal RNA (414 nucleotides) under uncultured microorganism. RNAcentral describes it as "bacterial SSU rRNA". It matches the Rfam family "Archaeal small subunit ribosomal RNA", at positions 459 to 872 of the family's 1478-position model. The record is from RNAcentral.